This 486-nucleotide long non-coding RNA is filed under the name Musa acuminata (dwarf banana). RNAcentral describes it as "long non-coding RNA (MACU_LNC000042)". The record is from RNAcentral. Lineage: Eukaryota; Viridiplantae; Streptophyta; Magnoliopsida; Zingiberales; Musaceae.
AUACAUCACUUGCAGUUCUUACGUCUCUUCUUCGUUUGAGACUUGGGAAUUGGGACUCGAAAACAAACGACAUGAUGCAAAGGCUCACUAUUGAUUGACCUUCCUUUGCUCUACUUAUACUUUCUCUGGUCUUUACUGCACAUUUGAGCCUCAGCAACCCGACCUCCUCCUCCUUUUCUUCCUCCUCUUACCUUUCUCUCUUCUACUAUACUCUUUCUACACAACAAAGCCUCUCUCUCUCUCUCUCUCUCUUUCUUUCACUGACAGAAGAAGAGAGUUCNNNNNNNNNNNNNNNNNNNNCUACUACUACUUCUUACUACACAACAACGACCUCUCUCUCUCUCUCUCUCUUUCUUUCACUGACAGAAGAAGAGAGUUCGUGCUGAUUAGUUCCACAACAAAAGUAAGAAGCAGAGACAAGGAAGGGAUGACCAACACCUCUGGUUUCUUUGAAGCUGCUGAGUAACACUACGUCGUUUUCUUCCU